RNAcentral lists this ribosomal RNA (365 nucleotides) under Cladonia ciliata var. tenuis. Its description in RNAcentral is "SSU rRNA". It matches the Rfam family "Bacterial small subunit ribosomal RNA", at positions 841 to 1168 of the family's 1533-position model. Lineage: Eukaryota; Fungi; Ascomycota; Lecanoromycetes; Lecanorales; Cladoniaceae. The record is from RNAcentral.
UAUUCUAUAAAUGAAAGUGUAAGCAUUCCACCUCAAGAGUAAUUUGGCAACAUUGGAACUGAAAUCAUUAGACCGUUUCUGAAACCAGUAGUGAAGUAUGUUGUUUAAUUUGAUGAUACGCAAAAAACCUUACCACAAUUUGAAUAUUUAUAUAUAUCUUUUAUUGAUUUUUACUAACAUAUAUGUAGACAAUUAAAAUGAUGCUUAUCUCUCGUUUGUGAGACUAAGCAUCAAAAAAGAUAGUAUAUUUACAAGCGUUGCACGGCUGUCUUCAGUUAAUGUCGUGAGAUUUUGGUUAGUUCCAUUAAAUUAACGUAAACCCUUACUUUAUUUUUAUAUAAAGUAGUUCUCCGCUAUAUUGGAUA